Molecule: ribosomal RNA, 253 nt
Filed under: uncultured bacterium
Lineage: Bacteria
Description: partial 16S ribosomal RNA
Rfam family: Bacterial small subunit ribosomal RNA
Source: RNAcentral
UACAGAGGUCCCAAGCGUUGUUCGGAUUCACUGGGCGUAAAGGGUGCGUAGGUGGUUGGGUAAGUCUGAUGUGAAAUCUCGGAGCUUAACUUCGAAACUGCAUUCGAUACUGCCGUGCUUGAGGACUGGAGAGGAGACUGGAAUUUACGGUGUAGCGGUGAAAUGCGUAGAUAUCGUAAGGAAGACCAGUGGCGAAGGCGGGUCUCUGGACAGUUCCUGACGCUGAGGCACGAAGGUCAGGGGAGCAAACGGG